UUGAGAAAAAAUAAAUUAGGGACGAAGUUAAAAAUAAUUUUAGAAAGAAGGGGUGAAAUUUGAAUUCGUGGGGUGUUUUUGAAAGAAAAAUUAAAAAUAGGAGGUCAAAGUAUAAAUAAAAAAAGUUCGGCCACGUAGGAUCGCUUAGUCAGCAAUCUCGACGAACCAGAGCACACCGCGCAAUCAGGUGUGUUAACGUCGGCACUACACAGGAGGCCACACUGGCGAUCU
RNAcentral lists this long non-coding RNA (231 nucleotides) under Carica papaya (papaya). Its description in RNAcentral is "long non-coding RNA (CPAP_LNC004478)". Lineage: Eukaryota; Viridiplantae; Streptophyta; Magnoliopsida; Brassicales; Caricaceae. The record is from RNAcentral.